This 329-nucleotide ribosomal RNA is filed under the name uncultured eukaryote. Its description in RNAcentral is "partial 18S ribosomal RNA". It matches the Rfam family "Eukaryotic small subunit ribosomal RNA", at positions 1470 to 1796 of the family's 1831-position model. The record is from RNAcentral.
CCCUUAGAUGUUCUGGGCCGCACGCGCGCUACAAUGAUGAAUUCAACGAGUUUAUAACCUUGGUUGAAAAGCCUGGGUAAUCUUUUGAACUUUCGUCGUGAUGGGGCUAGACCCUUGCAAUUAUUGGUCUCCAACGAGGAAUUCCUAGUAAACGCAAGUCAUCAGCUUGCAUUGAUUACGUCCCUGCCCUUUGUACACACCGCCCGUCGCACCUACCGAUUGAAUGGUCCGGUGAAAUCUUCGGAUUGAGACUUUGAUUUCUUCACGGAAAACGCUGUUUUAAAAAGUUGGUUAAACCUUACCAUUUAGAGGAAGGUGAAGUCGUAACA